This 282-nucleotide unclassified non-coding RNA is filed under the name Hevea brasiliensis (rubber tree). The record is from RNAcentral. Lineage: Eukaryota; Viridiplantae; Streptophyta; Magnoliopsida; Malpighiales; Euphorbiaceae.
AGGAUACUAUAUUUGGUCAUUUCUAGACGACUUCGAAUGGGAUCAGGGUUACACUGUUCGAUUUGGGAUCACUUACAUAGAUUACACAAAUAAAUUAAAAAGAUAUAUCAAACACUCUGCUUUCUGGUUCGAGAAGUUCCUUCAAAAGGAGAACAGAACCACUGCAUCUUCUUUGUUGUACUCGGAAUGAUUAAGAUAAAAAUAACUGUCAAUUACCUCUCAAAUCUCAAUUAUUUUGAUGGUGUCUGAUAGUGAUCAUAUAAUCAUCUUGGCUAUUUGCAG